UGUUGCAGUUAAAAGCUCGUAGUUGGAUCUAGGGACGCGCAUUUCAAGCGCCCGUGUCGUCGGGUCAAACCGGCGACUGCGUUGGCGUUGCGGGCUCGGUCCGUCGGUGGACCCUCGUGGUCUUAAUCGGCGUGUCAACCGGCCCGCCCGUCCCCUCCUUCUGGAUUCCCGUUCCUGCUAUUGAGUUAGUGGGGACGUCACAGGGGGCUCAUCGUCGUCAUGCAAAUGGCGGCGGUGGGUCCCUGGGGCCCAGAUCGUUUACCGUGAAAAAAUUAGAGUGUUCAAAGCAGGCAGAUCCAAUUUUCUGCCACCGAAUACAUUAGCAUGGGAUAAUGGAAUAGGACCCUGUCCUCCUAUUUUCAGUUGGUUUUGGCAGCGCGAGGACUAGGGUAAUGAUUAAUAGGGAUAGUUGGGGGCAUUAAUAUUUAAUUGUCAGAGGUGAAAUUCUUGGAUUUAUGAAAGAUUAACUUCUGCGAAAGCAUCUGCCAAGGAUGUUUUCAUUAAUCAAGAACGAAAGUUAGGGGAUCGAAGACGAUCAGAUACCGUCGUAGUCUUAACCAUAAACGAUGCCGACCAGCGAUUAGGAGACGUUGAAUACAAAACACCACCAUCGGCGCGGUCGUCCUUGGCGUCUGUCCCUUUCAACGGGGGCAGGCGCGAGGGCGGUUUAGCCCGGUGGCACCGGUGAAUGACUCCCCUAGCAGCUUGUGAGAAAUCAUAAGUCUUUGGGUUCCGGGGGGAGUAUGGUCGCAAGGCUGAAACUUAAAGGAAUUGACGGAAGGGCAC
This 786-nucleotide ribosomal RNA is filed under the name Acanthamoeba sp. RNAcentral describes it as "SSU rRNA". It matches the Rfam family "Eukaryotic small subunit ribosomal RNA", at positions 611 to 1167 of the family's 1831-position model. The record is from RNAcentral. Lineage: Eukaryota; Discosea; Longamoebia; Acanthamoebidae.